CCUACGGGGGGCAGCAGUGGGGAAUAUUGCACAAUGGGGGAAACCCUGAUGCAGCGACGCCGCGUGAGUGAAGAAGUAUUUCGGUAUGUAAAGCUCUAUCAGCAGGGAAGAUAAUGACGGUACCUGACUAAGAAGCCCCGGCUAACUACGUGCCAGCAGCCGCGGUAAUACGGAGGGGGCAAGCGUUAUCCGGAUGUACUGGGUGUAAAGGGAGCGUAGGUGGUAGGGCAAGUCAGAUGUGAAAACCCGGGGCUCAACCCCGGGAGUGCAGUUGAAACUGUCCGGCGGGAGUGCAGGAGAGGUAGGCGGAAUUCCUGGUGUAGCGGUGAAAUGCGUAGAUAUUAGGAGGAACACCAGUGGCGAAGGCGGCUUACUGGACUGUAACUGACACUGAGGCUCGAAAGCGUGGGGAGCAAACAGGAUUAGAUACCCGGGUAGUC
This 440-nucleotide ribosomal RNA is filed under the name uncultured bacterium. RNAcentral's name for it is "partial 16S ribosomal RNA". It matches the Rfam family "Bacterial small subunit ribosomal RNA", at positions 338 to 795 of the family's 1533-position model. The record is from RNAcentral.